Molecule: ribosomal RNA, 393 nt
Filed under: uncultured bacterium
Lineage: Bacteria
Description: partial 16S ribosomal RNA
Rfam family: Bacterial small subunit ribosomal RNA
Source: RNAcentral
AUACGGAGGAUCCGAGCGUUAUCCGGAUUUAUUGGGUUUAAAGGGUGCGCAGGCGGGAGAUUAAGUCGGCGGUGAAAUUUUUCAGCUCAACUGUAAAAGUGCCUUCGAAACUGGUUUCCUUGAGUGUAGAUGAAGUAGGCGGAAUUUGUGGUGUAGCGGUGGAAUGCAUAGAUAUCACGAGGAACUCCGAUUGCGCAGGCAGCUUACUAAACUACUACUGACGCUCAGGCACGAAGGCGUGGGGAUCAAACAGGAUUAGAUACCCUGGUAGUCCACGCAGUAAACGAUGAUUACUAGCUGUUUGCGAUACAAUGUAAGCGGCUGAGCGAAAGCGUUAAGUAAUCCACCUGGGGAGUACGUUCGCAAGAAUGAAACUCAAAGGAAUUGACGGGG